UACUUGGAACCAAUCUUUGGAUGCUUUCAUACAAUCCUUUAGAGACCUCUUCAUCAAAUUCAAUUUGCUGGAUUGCUAUUAAAAUAUUCUGGAUUCAAAAGGUGACCAGCUGCAUGCAAUGGAUGAUGAAGCUGACAUUCCCAUCUCUUGUCAAUGAUUUCAAAAAUCAUCUUGUGUUUGGCCGCAUUUCCUUUAAAAGACUUUUGAA
This 208-nucleotide unclassified non-coding RNA is filed under the name Hevea brasiliensis (rubber tree). The record is from RNAcentral. Lineage: Eukaryota; Viridiplantae; Streptophyta; Magnoliopsida; Malpighiales; Euphorbiaceae.